GACGAACGCUGGCGGCGUGCCUAAUACAUGCAAGUCGAACGCAUUUUCUUUCACCGUAGCUUGCUACACCGACAGAAAAUGAGUGGCGAACGGGUGAGUAACACGUGGGUAACCUGCCCAUCAGCGGGGGAUAACACUUGGAAACAGGUGCUAAUACCGCAUAAUUCCAUUUACCGCAUGGUAGAUGGAUGAAAGGCGCUUUUGCGUCACUGAUGGAUGGACCCGCGGUGCAUUAGCUAGUUGGUGGGGUAACGGCCUACCAAGGCUGCGAUGCAUAGCCGACCUGAGAGGGUGAUCGGCCACACUGGGACUGAGACACGGCCCAGACUCCUACGGGGGGCAGCAGUAGGGAAUCUUCGGCAAUGGACGCAAGUCUGACCGAGCAACGCCGCGUGAGUGAAGAAGGGUUUCGGAUCGUAAAACUCUGUUGUUAGAGAAGAACAAGGAUGAGAGUGGAAAGUUCAUCCCUUGACGGUAUCUAACCAGAAAGCCACGGCUAACUACGUG
This 507-nucleotide ribosomal RNA is filed under the name uncultured bacterium. Its description in RNAcentral is "partial 16S ribosomal RNA". It matches the Rfam family "Bacterial small subunit ribosomal RNA", at positions 28 to 507 of the family's 1533-position model. The record is from RNAcentral.